UGCAGUCGAGCGGGCGUAGCAAUACGUCAGCGGCAGACGGGUGAGUAACGCGUGGGAACGUACCUUUUGGUUCGGAACAACACAGGGAAACUUGUGCUAAUACCGGAUAAGCCCUUACGGGGAAAGAUUUAUCGCCGAAAGAUCGGCCCGCGUCUGAUUAGCUAGUUGGGGGGGUAACGGCCCACCAAGGCGACGAUCAGUAGCUGGUCUGAGAGGAUGAUCAGCCACAUUGGGACUGAGACACGGCCCAAACUCCUACGGGAGGCAGCAGUGGGGAAUAUUGGACAAUGGGCGCAAGCCUGAUCCAGCCAUGCCGCGUGAGUGAUGAAGGCCCUAGGGUUGUAAAGCUCUUUUGUGCGGGAAGAUAAUGACGGUACCGCAAGAAUAAGCCCCGGCUAACUUCGUGCCAGCAGCCGCGGUAAUACGAAGGGGGCUAGCGUUGCUCGGAAUCACUGGGCGUAAAGGGUGCGUAGGCGGGUCUUUAAGUCAGGGGUGAAAUCCUGGAGCUCAACUCCAGAACUGCCUUUGAUACUGAGGAUCUUGAGUUCGGGAGAGGUGAGUGGAACUGCGAGUGUAGAGGUGAAAUUCGUAGAUAUUCGCAAGAACACCAGUGGCGAAGGCGGCUCACUGGCCCGAUACUGACGCUGAGG
This 650-nucleotide ribosomal RNA is filed under the name uncultured bacterium. RNAcentral's name for it is "bacterial SSU rRNA". It matches the Rfam family "Bacterial small subunit ribosomal RNA", at positions 56 to 751 of the family's 1533-position model. The record is from RNAcentral.